UUUGGGGAUCCCCCCCCCCAAAACCCCCUUUGAACCCCCCGUUAUGGGACACCCCCCCCCGAGGCCCCGCCCCCCCGUGGGCACCCCAAUACGUCAUCCCAGGAAGCCCCACCCCCUGCGCGGGAGGGGUCGGGAACCGGGGGGGGGGCUGGGGGGGGCGGCGUAUGGGCCCCGUUUCUCCCAGUUUGGCCCAUUCGGGGGCCGGUUUAGCCCAGUUUAGUCCCCGUUUCUCCCAGUUUGGCCCAGUUCGGGGCUGGUUUAGCUCAGUUUAGUCCCCAUUUCCUCCCAGUUUCUCCAGUUCGGGGCUGGUUUAGCCCAGUUUAGUCCCCGUUUCUCCAGUUUGGCCCAGUACGGGGCCGGUUUAGCCCAGUUUAGUCCCGCUUUCUCCCAGUUUCUCCCAGUUCGGGGCCAGUUUAGCCCAGUUUAGUCCCCGUUUCUCCCAGUUUGGCCCAGUACGGGGCUGAUUUAGCCCAGUUUAGUCCCCGUUUCUCCCAGUUUGGCCCAGUUCGGGGCUGAUUUAGCCCAGUUUAGUCCCCCGUUUCUCCCAGUUUGGCCCAGUACGGGGCCGGUUUAGCCCAGUUUAGUCCCCGUUUCUCCCAGUUUCUCCCAGUUCGGGCCAGUUUAAGCCCAGUUUAGUCCCCGUUUCUCCCAGUUUGGCCCA
Molecule: non-coding RNA, 661 nt
Organism: Phalacrocorax carbo (great cormorant)
Lineage: Eukaryota; Metazoa; Chordata; Aves; Suliformes; Phalacrocoracidae
Source: RefSeq, a predicted model, not a curated record